AGCUCUCCAUUCAAUUUAUAUGCUAUGAAGAGUAGUGUUCGCGCUGCGCUGUUACUGAUCAGCGCUGCGCUGGGGAGAUCAGCUCGGUGGCGCUGGUGAACACGUCCUCUCUGCGCUGUCGAGUCGGUCGCGGAGCUCGGUCCAUUGAGCCGCGCCUGUGACCGGUCAGCGCUGCGCGAACACUUUAAUACCGCACUGUUUAUCCUACAUUAGGUGUGUUUGGCUAGCCAUGAGCGCAAAUGAAAGACAAUUUCAUGGGAAUGUGUAACCUGUCAUAGCCUAUAAAUUGAAUUUAAAGCUUGUGGAGCUCACACAUUUUGCCUUGGACGAUCAUUCAUCUCAUCUUCUGUGGUGUUUCAGCCGUUUGCUCCGAUGCCUGAAGAAACUACAUCCGUGACCAUCGUUAUGUACAGCUGCAGGAGGAGCUCAGACUCGCCGACUACGACAGCGCAGAAUGCAAACUUCUGGCAGCCGAUGUUGCAACGUGUUUGGCAGUUCCUGUGGGAGCGCAUCAUACCCAGAUUCAUCUGAGGAACAACGACGUCGCUACCAGACUUCGACCGACAAUGCUACAGCUCCGAUACCGAAGAAACCCCGAGCCAACGACACUCUGCGGACUCGAGUCACUUCGGACAUGCUGAUGGCGCAUAUUUCACCCGCCUAUCGACUAUUCUCCAAACACCGAGAUGCCUUUCCCAGUUCUCCAGAUGGACUUUCUCUGAGGCAUCUAAUCUUCGAUUUCUUCAUACAUUUUCAACAUAAUUAGUUCAACAUUCACUAUUGUGUGGUAUUUUCCCGCUCAUUAUGUAUUUUCACCCGAUUCGAACGUUAUCACUCGAUUGAAUGGGGCGUUAUCAGCGGUUAUCAGCCCAUAGAAAUGGGCCAGGAGGGGCCUCCUGCGCCUACUAGUAGGCUCAGAAGGCCGUGAUCAUCCAUCCAAAUGGUUGAUCACCAACAAAUAUACAAGAGAAGACUCCAGAUCCAAUCCCAGAAUUCCUGCUCACCUGUAAUCGGAAGUCUACUGGACGAAUGCGGGAACGUUGCGAUAUUUCCUGCUUAAUAUUUUCAGAUAUGGGAAAAGCACUUAAGAUGACCCCACGUUUCAGGAACGUUAAAAUUAAGUUGGUGAGGAGGUCUAUGGUGGGCCCUGCAAGUUUUCUUACCUCAGUCAAGGUCUUCCCCAGCCCAGCUACAAUCAGACCCACCCUUCAGACCCUUCUAUUACAUCUCAACCUGCUGAACCUGAUGAUGCGACACCAAGCUGUUCUGAGAGCGCAUACAGUAAGGCAAAGAAGAGAGAGCUUCAUGCCUGGGAUGCAGUCAAGGAUGAGAUGCUUAAGGUGACGUUUGAAUGUUCAGCAUCAGUCACUACCCAGUGUGCUGUCUGCCGAGAACAUGCUGAUUAUAGGUGCAUUGAGUGCAGCUCCACUGCAGUGUUCUGUGAGGUUUGCCUGAAGAGGAUUCACAGAAAUUUACUGCAUCUUCCUGAAAAGUGGAAUAAUGUUUACUAUGAGCCAUCCUCCCUGGGGUUAUUCUUAUAUUUACCUGAAGCCCAUGGCACCCAUGCUGUGAACACAAAGGACAUGAAGAUCAUUGUCAGCACAGGACGGCUCUGCACCGUUACAGUCAACAUGUGUGCGUGUGAACCAGAAACCUGUACUCUGCUGAGAUAUGGGCUCUGACCAGACAGCCUUCUCCAUCCCUCUGCUAGAGCUUUCUGUUUCUCUGUCACUGGAGUGUCAGGUUUCUGUUGAGGGGUUUUUUGCAACACCCCAUAUCCCAUUUUAGGCAUCACCACUUCCGACAAAGAAGUUUGGUUGAUAUUUGCACAAUUAAAUGAUGGAACCAUAUGCCCAGCAUGUCCAAAGGUUGGUUAUAAUUCCAGCGUGGUUCUUGUUUGAUUAAAUUAAUGGCAUAGAAAUAAAAUCUGAAUUAAUAUCAAACUUAAAAGUUAAUUUGUGUAUGUAGUAUUGUAAUAGAAUAGUAAUAGUAUAAAUGUAUAAACCUGGUGCGGGUACAAAACCAGUGUUACUGUAAGUGUUUGUUUUCCAGGCGGAUGGAGAUAUGAUUGUCAUAUUGGAUGCCAACUUUGGCCUUGUGAGGAAGUAAAGCCGCAGUACAAGUGUGGUUGAUCCAUUACACAGAACCCACGUGUUUGUUGAUGAAAAGGAUGUAGAGGAAUACCUGCUAUCACAUCUUGACAGCUCAAAGCCUCGAGGUUAAUCAUUGUUGCAGAAUUUCAUUCGAGUCCAUGAAAUAUUAAUUAAACUUGUGAAAAAAGAUCCCUAUUCCUCUCAUAAAUCUAUGUUUUCCUUAAAUCUUUAGGACUGCAGUAAGCUGCUCUCAUUCAAGGUAUUAUAAUAUAAUAUAAUAUAAUUACUUUACUGCAUAACUUGUGCAGACAUGUUGUUUUACUAGGUCUGAUCUAUUUUAAAGCUUAGGCCCUGUAUUUAAGCAUACAUAUCCCCACUAGUCUGUCUGUAUGAGUACAAAAUUAAAAAAUAAACUCUCUAUAAGUGUAACUGUACAAGCAGAGUAAAAUAUUUAUAUAAAAAAUAUUGCACUACUGUUAUUUUGCAUAGAAUACAUUGUUCAACAAUAUUUUUGCACACUCAUCCAACUGUAUUUAUUACCACUGUUCUCACGUUCCUGCUGUUCAUAACAUAUAUAUAAUCCUUCAUUGCUCUGUUCAUAAUGUACAUACAAUCCCUACAUUGCAUUCAUAUUUAUAUUCUGUAUAUACUCUGAUCAAUAUUGUAUAUAGCAACUCCACUGUACAUUCUGUAUAUCAUAGCUUUACUUACUCAGCACUUUUAUGUAUAUAAAACACUAUAUUCUUGCACUUCUGGUUAGAUGCUAACUGCAUUUCAUUAGCUCUGUACUUGUACUCUGCAUAAUGACAAUAAAGUUGAAUCUAAUCUAAUCUAAAAAAAAAAAUUGUGUUUACCAUAAUGUAAUAUGUUAUUUACUGUAAUGUACAAAUGUGUGGGAGGUGUUUUGUUUUUUGUGAGCUCACCAUCAAAAUCCCCUUCGACUGAGUUGAAAUGAAAAUAAAUUAUUGGAUCUUGAAUCCUCUGAAGCAA
Carassius gibelio (silver crucian carp) is the source of this 3083-nucleotide long non-coding RNA. RefSeq lists it as uncharacterized. NCBI's taxonomy places the organism in Eukaryota, Metazoa, Chordata, Actinopteri, Cypriniformes, Cyprinidae. The record is from RefSeq and is a predicted model, not a curated record. The transcript is spliced from 5 exons.